GACGAACGCUGGCGGCGUGCUUAACACAUGCAAGUCGAACGGAGAGGCCCUGCUUUUGUGGGGUGCUCGAGUGGCGAACGGGUGAGUAACACGUGAGUAACCUGCCCUUGACUUUGGGAUAACUUCAGGAAACUGGGGCUAAUACCGGAUAGGAGCUCCUGCUGCAUGGUGGGGGUUGGAAAGUUUCGGCGGUUGGGGAUGGACUCGCGGCUUAUCAGCUUGUUGGUGGGGUAGUGGCUUACCAAGGCUUUGACGGGUAGCCGGCCUGAGAGGGUGACCGGCCACAUUGGGACUGAGAUACGGCCCAGACUCCUCCGGGAGGCAGCAGUGGGGAAUAUUGCACAAUGGGCGGAAGCCUGAUGCAGCAACGCCGCGUGCGGGAUGACGGCCUUCGGGUUGUAAACCGCUUUCGCCUGUGACGAAGCGUGAGUGACGGUAAUGGGUAAAGAAGCACCGGCUAACUACGUG
This 468-nucleotide ribosomal RNA is filed under the name uncultured bacterium. Its description in RNAcentral is "partial 16S ribosomal RNA". It matches the Rfam family "Bacterial small subunit ribosomal RNA", at positions 28 to 507 of the family's 1533-position model. The record is from RNAcentral.